GCAGAACUGGUAAAGAUGUUAUGUUGGGGCAAUUGCCGAUUUCAAGACUCUCCAGACUGGAGAGAACUUUUAGAUUUCCUGGCAGGGACUCCAUUUUGCAUUCCCAAAAGUACAGGUGCUUGACAGAUAAGAGAUUUACAGAUUCUCCAAAUGAAGCUGACGGCUCCUUGCAAUCAAGAAGAGCAAGAUAUGGUGGGACUAUAAACCCUUCAGCCUUGAGCAUCUGGUUGAGCAGUACGAAACUACUAACGGUGAGCCAUUUCUGGACACGAAACUGUGAGAUGCACUUGGCAGUGAGGUUUGGAACAUCUCCCAAACUUAGUUCAUCAAGUUGCCAGGAAGACAAGCGUUCAAGAGAGCACAGAUCGGGGAGACCACAUAGAUCUAAUGAUUCAAGGGAGGUCAGGUGGCCAAUCGACAAGGAUGGGGAGCUUCUGCAAUAUCCAAUGCAAAGAGAUUUCAGGUGUGGCAAGCCAUUAAUGAACGAAUCGGCUGCAAGAAUGCAGCCUGUUAUGUUGAGGUGUCCAGCAAGGUUGAAUGACAUAAAUUCUGCUCCACGUGCCAGAUCUAAAGAAGGGCAAUCAAUACAAUAAAGUCUGGAAAGAGAUGGAGCAGCACGUAAGCCCCCCAGUGAUCUGAGACACCAACAACCUCUUACCGUCAACGAGUCAAGCUUUAUCAAAUGCUCAAACACCUCUUCUGACGGAAGUGCAGAUAAUGCCAUAUUAUAUUCCAUUAUUAACGUUGUCAAUGAAGUGAGGCCACCAAGGCAAAUAGCUAAAGCUUCAUCUGUAAUACUGCAUGAAGAAAGAACAAGACCAACAAGUCCAAAUGGUAGAACCAGUGGCAGCUCCAUGGUCCUUCCAUAAAUGACUCUUAUCCUCUGCUCAUGGCAAAAAAGCCAUGCCUUGAUCAUAUUUUCUUUGUCUGAUAUAUAUCUCCUCCUUCCUCUAGGCCACUUUCAAUAAUUUGAAGAUGUUGUGAUAUAUCAUCACCCAUCUGCGUUGUCAACUGCUUCAGGGAUGAAUAGUCCUCUACAAGUACUUCCGUAAUAUUAAAUCCUGAAUUGACCUCCCACAUCGAUGCAAGUUUAGAUGCCAGGUCCUCUGUCUUCAUUAUAUUUCCCCUCAGACCAUGCUGGUCGAGCUCAUUUUUGGAGACAAACAUAAGCAGUGGGCACGUCUGAAUUGACAAUUUUGUAAGCAUUGCUGGAAGACAAGGUAAUAUUUUCAAUUUUGGAACAUUUUCUAGCGGAUGUGUGAAAUCUGCAACGGAUUGGCAAUUUUCAAUUUUGACAAUUUUGGAAUAUUUUCCACCUGCCUCGCAAGUCCCAACUGUGGACUGUGCACAGUCGCCAAACAGAGAACCGAGGGGACAGCAUCUGCAACGGAUUGGCUUCUGACUUGAACUGGGUGGCGAGUCAGUGUCGUGUUGUGCUUGUGCCAGGGUGACCUUGAGGUCGAGGUGCCUGUUUACAACAUGAAAUGUUUUUAAAAUAUAAAAUAUUGGAAACCUUAUUCAUUGUGCUGGAUAAUGAAUCAGCAGAACCUAUACCUCCUCAUUUCGUUGAAGAUCAUUCAUAGAAGUGCUUCCAGCGGAUGUGUGAAAUCUGUGGCCAGCUUUCUCCAUCAGGCUCUCGGCAGUUCUUCUUCAAGUCGUCACAACCAUAUAUACUUAUACGCUGGAGGGAGGAUGGCAGAACUGGUAAAGAUGUUAUGUUGGGGCAAAUGCCGAUAUCAAGCCUCUCCAGACUGGAGAGAAAUUGUAGAUUUCCUGGCAGGGACUCCAUUUUGCAUCGCCAAAAGUACAGGUGCUUGACAGAUAAGAGAUUUGCACAUUCUCCAAAUGAAGCUGACGCCUCCUUGCAAUAACGAAGAAUAAGGUUCAGUGGGACUAUAAACCCUUCAGUCUUGAGCAUCUGGUUGAGCAGUACGAAACUACUAACGCUGAGCCGUUUCUGGACACGAAACUGUGAGAUGCACUUGGCAGUGAGGUUUGGAACAUCUAUCAAACUUAGCUUUUCAAGUUGCCAGGAAGACAAGCCUUCGAGAGUGCACAGAUCGGGGAGACCACGUAGAGAUAAUGAUUCAAGAGAGGUCAGGUGGCCAAUCGAUAAGCAUGGGGAGCUUCUGCAACAGUAAAUGCAAAGAUAUUUCAGGUGUGGCAAACCAUUAAUGAAUGAAUCAGCUGCAAGAAUGCAGCCACGUAUGUAGAGGUCUCCAGCAAGGUUGAAUGACAUAAAUUCUGCUCCAUGUGCCAGAUCUAAAGAAGGGCAAUUAAUACAAUGAAGUCUGGAAAGAGAUGGAGCAGCAUGUGAGCCCCCCAGUGAUCUGAGACACCAACAACCUCUUACAGUCAACCAGUCAAGCUUUGUCAAAUGCUCAAACACCUCUUCUGAAGGAAGUGCAGUUAAUGCCAUAUUAUAUUCCAGUAUUAACGUUGUCAAUGAAGUGAGGCCACCAAGGCAAAUAGCUAAAGCUUCAUCUGUAAUACUGCAUGAAGAAAGAUAAAGUUCACGUAUUCCUGAUGGUAGAACCAGUGGCAGCUCCAUGGUCCUUCCAUAAAUGACUGUUAUCCUCUGCUCAUGGCAAAAAAGCCAUGCCUUGAUCAUAUUUUCUUUCUCCAAUAUUAUAUCAACUCCUUCCUCUAGGCCACUUUCAAUAAUUUGAAGAUGUUGUGAUAUAUCAUCACCCAUCUGCGUUGUCAACUGCUUCAGGGAUGAAUAGUCCUCUGCAAGUACUUCCCUAAUAUUUGAUCCUGAAUUGACCUCCCACAUUGAUGCAAGUUUAGAUGCCAGGUCCUCUGUCUUCAUUAUAUUUCCCCUCAAAUCAUGCUGGUUGAGCUCAUUUUUAGACACAAACAUAAGCAGUGGGCACGUCUGAAUUGACAAUUUUGUAAGCAUUGCUGGAAGACAAGGUAAUACCUUCAAUUUUAGAACAUUUGUUAGGGACAGCCUAGUGCACUGCCGUAGGAGCUCAGUAUUAGGGGGUAGGCCUUCUAACAAAGUGCAGCCAUUAAGCUUAAAACAUUCCAAAUUUUCAAAAUAGGAUGGCUCGAGUAACCACCUUUGGAUAUGUGUCAGAUUUGUAGCCUUUGAUUGUGACGACACGAAGUUGGGGCGACGGUCUCAGACCUUCUAGAAUAUCCAAAUGUAAAGUAUCUGCUGCAUCCAUUCCAUUCUCGCUACUCCAGGCAAGCUGCAACUUUUUAAGGCGAUUCUUCUGAUAUAGCAUGGACUCUAAGGCUUCUUCCUUUUCUGAAACAUUCUCAAGAUUUUGUACUCUUAAACUGCCACCAAGCUCAUUCAAGCCCUUCAGCUGCCACAACUCGUAUCCUUGCUUCUUUUGCACAAAAAAGGUAUGGAUGUGUUGUAGCGAAGUUAGCUUGCCUAUAUUGGGAAUUUGAUGAAUAGAUUUUUCAAUCAAGGCACGUGGGUACUCCGUGUACACCCCCAUAUGUCGUAACUUACUUAAGUUGCUAAGCUUGUCAGGCAACCUGUCCACCAUUGGGCUUAACUGAAGUAGCUGCAAGUGGUAAAGAGUACAUAAUGAUCUAGGCAAUUCAGAAAUUAACGUUCUGAUAAGGUUCAAAUACCGAAGGUGCUUCAGCCUACCAAUAGAUUCAGGCAACUUACUACUGUUGUAGAAUGACAAAUACAAUACACGUAACUUCUUCUGGUUCUGCAGCAUCUGAUCAAAAAUAUCGCUUGCAUCAUCCAUUAGUGGAUCAAUGCAGAUGAUAGUGCGUAAAUGCUGUAGCUUGUAGAUAAUUUGCUUAUGCUUUUGCAAACUCUGAACCUGAAGAGAGAGAUGUCGAACAGUGCAUGGUACUUCUCUGAUAUUAUCCUCUUCUAAUCUGAAGCAGUCUUCUACAGAGAGUGACUGUGCCAAAUCAUGAAGGAUGUCGUGCAUGAUAUAGUAUGAAUAACACUCUGUUUCAGAAACCAAUUGAAAGAAAGACCCAAAGAGCAUCUCAUUGAAAUAAUCCCUCCCGACAUCUUCCAUUGUCAUGCUACUCAAAUUACAUGAACCAACAAGCCCUUCUGCCACCCAAAGGUGAACCAACUCAUCAGGUUUAUAUUUAUGACCUUUUGGGAAUAAGCUGCAAUACAAGAAGCACCUCUGCAGACGUGGAUCUAACUUCUUGUAACUCCACAAGAGAACUGUGAAGGGCUCACUUAAAUCUCUGAGCUUUAGAGCACCUUUCCAUUCAGCAGUAUCUUUUUUUGUGCUCAACCGGGAACCAAGAACUUUUGCUGCCAAAGGACAUUGUCCAAGCCUUUUAGCAAUCUCCACUGCAGUAUGUUCCAGAUUAUUGUGCAAAAGUUCAUCUCCAAUUUUUGCUCCAGAGAAAGCAUGGUGUUUGAAGAGUGCCAAGAAAUUGGCAUCAUCCAAUUUUUCCAAAUGAACAACUUGUUGUUGAUCACAGAAAACAGCGGCCGGAAGUGUUUCACGCCGAGAAGUCACCAAAACUUUGCUUCCCAUCUGUUUAGAGACGAAUGGAUCCAGGAGCUGAAACCACUCUGUCUCGCUGUCUGAUUUUUCGAACCAAACAUCAUCCAAGACAAGUAGGAAUUUCUCUGACUUCUGCAGUAUGUCACGUAAUUUGCACUGGAGAGUAUCAAGAUUAUUAAUACAUGGGCACUCCCCAUUUGUUGCAGACUCAAUAAUCUCCCUUGUGUGACGACGGACAUCAAGCUUGCGUGAGAUGCAGACCCACAUUGUCGACGAAAGCUAGUCGGCAGUCUACCUUGGGGUAUACCCACGGUAGUAGUUUAUCGGUAGACGGUGCGCAAACUACGAACUCGAUGGUGACGCAAGACACGGACAAGCUUUUUAUCCAGGUUCGGCCGCCGAGUUGGCGUAAUACCUACGUCCUGCGUCUGGUUGUAUUGGAUUGUGUUGAGAGAUAAUCUGUCCUAGGGGGUCCCUUGCCCCUCUUUAUAUAGUCUGGAGGGCAGGGUUACAGAUCUAGAAACUAAUCCUAGUCGGUUACAAUUGCCAUGGAUAAUUCGAUAUCAAUUCCUAUUCUAACCGACUAGAAUCCUGCUUGAUCUCCACGUCUUGUUUCCUUGCGCGAAACUCGGGCUGUCGGAUCAAGCCUUGAACUCGUCUCGUAGUGGGCCAAGCUUCCUGGCUGAAGUCUAGCCGUAAGGGUAUAGGGGUUUAUACCCCCACAGCUAGUCCCCGAGCGCCAUGUAUUGUGAUGCAACACGCCGUCUUGAGCUUCUUCGACCAGCGAGGCCUGUCGUCUUCAAUGAGCGGGGAAAUCGCCCAAACAGUUGCAACGGUAUUUUGACCAACUCAAAAGACAGUUGAUCAACAUUGACAUCGAAGAAGCAGGUUGUUCGAAGAAUGCAUGGUGCUCUUAAUUAAAAAAGAUUUCUUUCCUGGUGAAGUGUGCCCACUUUACUUUUCUGAAUAGUAUAGUCUUUCAAAAAGCAAGCAUAUUCACCGCAAGGUGAAGUGUGCCCACUUAGUCCCCGAGCCUGGUAGUAGGUGACGUAGGCACGUGGUGCCAGGGUCAAAAGAAAAGUCCUCAAAGAAAUUCUGAAACUGAGAUGCAUCGCCAGAUGCAUCGUACCGAUGUAGUCCCCGAGCUUGCUGGAAGGCGAAGUAUGAGCCUUGUAGCAAGGUCUAAAAAAUUGAAUUUACCAGUCCCCGAGCAUAUCAUGCUCGUAUGCAAUUGAAUAGACUAAUCGACCAGUCCCCGAGCAUAGAACGCUCGGUGGUCGGUACAGUCUCCGAAUUCUCAAAUUGGUGGGCUGGUCGACCAGUCCCCGAGCGUAUAGUGCUCGGUGGUCGGUGCAGUCCCCAAGUUCUUAAAUUGGUGAGCUGGUCGACCAGUCCCCGAGCGUAUAGUGCUCGGUGGUCGGCACAGUCCCCGAGCACGGCGUAGGGACCGGUGGACAAGUCCCCGAGCGUGGUUGGGAACGUAAACGUGCUCGGUGGUCGGCACAGUCUUCGAGCAUAGCAUAGAGAGUAGUCGACAAGUCCCCGAGCGUGGUUGGGAACGUAAACGUGCUCGGUGGUCGGAGCAGUCCCCGGGCACGGCGUAGGGAAUAGUCGACGAGUCCCCGAGCGUAGCUUGUCGACUGGGCCAAACUCCUGAAAAAUAAAUAUAGAGAAAAUAGGUAGUACAUGAUGUAUAAAUAAACUCUAGAUAAAAAAUCAGCACUGAGAUAAGUUUUAGACUUUUUAUUAUAAAAUUAGCACGAGUAGUUAAUUCAUCCUAGAGCUUGUACCAGCUCUGGUCUAGCCAACAAUCAGCAUGAGGUGCGGAACCUAGACACGCGUGGGAUUGCCAGCCUCGCCAGAGAGCUACUGCCGACCACCCGGAACGCAGAGGGCGGAUCUCGUGCACGUGUAGGGAGGAGUCGGAGACAGUACCGGCUCUGGAAAGCUCGUGUAGGAGAAAAAACUAGUGUGGCUAAACAAAAAGUUGUUUUUGAAGGAUAAUAAAAAAUAUUAUGCCAAAAAUAAAUAAGAUAUUAGAAGUGUACUUAUCUUUGGAUGAAAGUCUGGUCGGUGACGACCAAAUUGUCUGGCCCUCGAGCUUUUGGACUUGUUAUCGUGACGGUGGUCGCGGUUGUCGUAGCGCCGUUCUUCGCGGCGAUUAUUAUUGCGACUGGUGGUCAGAGCCAGUAGGCCAAACAACUUGGUCGUUAGCCCGAGCAGAUCGAUGUCGUCGAUCUGCCUCUCUUUGUAGUAGGGAAGCAGGUGACGCAUUGUCGGCGUGGUCGGAGACGCUGCUGGUGUGGUCGAAGUCGUAGCCAGCGUGGUUGGAGCUGCAGCCGACGUCGGUGAAGAAGUGAUCGGCACAGAUUGGAUCUACGCCUCCUUCGCGGUCGUGGUGGUGAAGCUGUUGAAGCUGACGGUGAACGUGAAGCCGCCCGCCAUGGCCACGAAGUUUGGGAUGAUAGCCAUCUUGUUCGUCUAGGAGAGCUGUACGCACACCCCCUACCUGGCGCGCCACUGUCGACGAAAGCUAGUCGGCAGUCUACCUUGGGGUAUACCCACGGUAGUAGUUUAUCGGUAGACGGUGCGCAAACUACGAACUCGAUGGUGACGCAAGACACGGACAAGCUUUUUAUCCAGGUUCGGCCGCCGAGUUGGCGUAAUACCUACGUCCUGCGUCUGGUUGUAUUGGAUUGUGUUGAGAGAUAAUCUGUCCUAGGGGGUCCCUUGCCCCUCCUUAUAUAGUCUGGAGGGCAGGGUUACAGAUCUAGAAACUAAUCCUAGUCGGUUACAAUUGCCAUGGAUAAUUCGAUAUCAAUUCCUAUUCUAACCGACUAGAAUCCUGCUUGAUCUCCACGUCUUGUUUCCUUGCGCGAAACUCGGGCUGUCGGAUCAAGCCUUGAACUCGUCUCGUAGUGGGCCAAGCUUCCUGGCUGAAGUCUAGCCGUAAGGGUAUAGGGGUUUAUACCCCCACACACAUCCUGAUAUCAAAGCCUUCUUCUAUCCUCUUGUCAUUGUAGACAUACUGCACUAAGGUGGACUUCCCCAUUCCGCCGGCACCAAUAAUGGCCAAACUUGAGUACCUAGUCGAACUUGCCUCGUCAGCUGCUGUCUUGCCAAGAAGAAAAUCUACUAUACGAUCGCGAUCCUUGUCACGACCGAAAACCUUUGAUGUGGAAAGUGAUGUCACUGUGGUUGGAGGAACAAUGGUUGCUGGUACAUUUGGCCACCCUAAACCUGUAGUAUUUCCAGGUGCUAUGCUAAGAAGAUCCCGAAGCUCCUUGGCUUCUGUUAGGAUAGCUUUGAUCUCAUUCAUCUUGCUAAUUAGCCUUCUAUUCUCAGGGAGCAAGUUGCGUGCCUUGCUCUUAGCAGUAUGAAAAGGCUUCAUGAUUGUUGAUGCAAUGGAGGAUGUUUCAUCCUCUCCUAGCAGGGGAUCUUUUCCGCUCUUGGCCUUGCGCUUGAGGAGAUUGUACUCAUGCUCGUCCAGCAGGUCCUCAGCAUCAUAAAAGGCUUCUUUGAGCCGCCGAAGCCAUGCCUCGAGCUUGCCCUUAUGGGGGCUCUUCUCUGCUGCUUGAAUCACCAGAUCAAAUUGUGGCAGGACGGUGGCUUCUAGUUUUUGGAGCUCACGCACCAUGUCCACACUGAGGUAAGCUGAAGCUUCGUUAAGAAGCUUGUUGAAAAUGGGCGAUGCUGCCCACCUUAACCCAGCGAGUGCCAAGUCUGCCAUGGAAUUGGAGUGGUUUGUGCUUCUCCUUUGUGGGUGUGGACUGGAGAGAUCUUGGAUGAAUAUUUCCAGGUGAAAAGAAGAGGACAAUUGAUUGGCAAUGGCACGAAAUGAUUGUGUUUUUCUUGGAAAUGUAAAUGAUGGGAAACAAGCAAAGAGUACAAUUAAUAUCUUUUUUCCUUCCUUUUUUGGGGUUUUCUAUUUUUUCUUUCUUUUUUUUUGUCGUAGGAGUGAAAUGAAUAAGUUGAAGAUGCAGGGUGCAAGGGUCUGGUGGCGAAGAGAAAGAUUAAACAGGAAAAGAAAGAUAAAUGGAUGGACAAUGGAAACUGUUUUCUUUUUUAUGUAUGGACGAGGUGCUUCUGCAGAAGGCAAGUUACUGAUAAGGACAACAACGGAAUGAAGAAAACCUGGAAUUAAGAAGACGCAUAGAAUUAGUGAUUCUGAUUGGGAAAAUGGAAGACAAAUUGAUUAUUUUUCUUUCUCAUGUGCUACAGCACACAGAAUGAAAUAGCUACUAACAAGUUAACACAACAAACUAAGGAGAUUGGUGAUCUUACAUGGUUUUGCGGGAUGAAGUUACACCAAGUAAAAAAAAUCAAGGGCGCUGGGAGCAGAGUUGCUGGAGCUAGUGUCGACAACGAGCACGAGGUGGCCGAAGUGGUGGACGGGACUCUGGAACAAGCACUGCACUUCAAGAGAACAAACAGGCAGCCAGCCAAGAAUAAGGUAUACACGCUGGCAGCGAAGGAGGGAAAGGAAGAAGCAAGGAACAAUACCGGAAAAGCUUGGCAGUGCUGAUUCCUAGUGAUGAUCUUUUUUUUUAACAGAUUGCUGGUGAUGAUCUGUUCUGUAGUCUCACGGUGAGGACACCGAUGGUGCUGCUGGCCUUCUGCUGCUUGCUGGAAAAAGGAAGAAGCAAGGAAAUUGGAAGGUGGAGAAAGAGGAGUAGACAAGGUCUAUCGAUUGGGACUUCUCUGAAAUAGGAGUUUGUUGGGACCUGCAUUUGGUGUGAAGUACUAGUCAGCAUAAACACAGACAAAGGAAGCUUCUGGGUAGCUUCACUAGGUUUCUAUCCUUGAGAAAGGAACGGUUCAACCGUAUCCCCCCUUGCAAUAAAUGAGUGAAGGCGAACACAGAGUAGACAAGGUCUAUGAAUUCAUCAAAAACGUUAUCAGCAGUUUUGCAACUCAAACACUGCCUAAACAACUCGUAGGAAAACACAGCCCAAAUGAAAAGCAAGGCGCACAUACGGCCACCUCACCUGUAUCCAGGAAACGGUGGAAUGUGGUCACCUCUCACAUGGAAAAUCACAUAAGAUGAUUUUUUUUAUUCCAUAACCCAUAUAAGAACUGAUCAAAACACAAAAGGAUAGACAAAUUUUGACUGACCACUGACCAGUCUCUUGCACUAGUACUGCUGCUUCUUUGUGAAAGGAAUCAGCCUUGACGCCUAUGCUACUGCUCGUCGGUGCUGCUGUACUAGGGCUGUGGUGCCUGUGUCGCCUCUCCUCCCCUUCCUGAAUCCUCUGCCGUGGUCGGUUCCUGCCUUGAGCACGGCCGGCACGCCCCGCAGCUUCCGCAGUAAAAGUAAUCUCCGAGGUGGCGAGACCUAACUCCGGCAACACCGGCGACAUGGAGGGUUCAGCGUUCGGCCGUCUUGUGCGGUGCCGGCGCUGGAACACGACACAGGAGAAUGGCCGAACGGCGGACGGGGAAAUGCUGAACAGAACAGGAACGGAUAUUGCGGUAUUGGACUGGGUAAGUAACUCAUCUAUUUGGGCCGCCCCACAUCGUCUUCAUCGCUCGUUUGAAGUUAGAGCAGCAGGAACAACGGCUGCACAGUCCCCUUCUUCUGCUUGAAUAAGGCUAUUCCAACAGGAGACCCAAAUGUAAAAUCUCUACUAUAAUGGAUCAAUUAGAAUUAUAUUAGAUCCCCAAGUAAAACCUUUUCCACUGAGAGCCUUCAACCAUUGUGCACCUAGUAAAAUUAAAAUGUACACAGUAAAUUGUCUCUGUUAAAAUCAAGGGCUACAAAAUAAUUGCUCAUAGACCUCAACUCAAUCUGAUGGCCAUGAUCACUUCCAGGCUUCAACGCGACUCCCAGGCUUCAACACGCUCGCGUCCCUCGACGCACGGCCUCCACCUCCCCAAGCGUGACAGGCAGGAUUCGAUCCCUGCUACCGUUCCCGGCGGCGAGGUGGCACGGGAUCGACGGAGGAACUAGGGGCUGCGGCUGAGGGCUUGGCUCCUGCAGAGCUUCGGUGGCUGUGAAGGUCGACGACAGACCCCGGCUAGGGGCGGUAGCGGCAGCGGAGGCGCGGUCACAGCGACCCGGCCGGCGGCGGAGGAAGGCGAGACGGACACAUUGGUGGGAUUGGUUGGGUGCAGUUGCGAGGUCUCGGAGGAGCUGCUGCUCACGCUGGUGGAAAGCUAGGUAGUCUUGAGAUAGCACACUACGCGCACGGGGUGUUCGUGCAAAUGCUUGGCACGGCCUUGUCAAAUCCUUUGCUCCCCUCCGACGUUGCUGCCAUGGACUCCACGUUGGCACCUGAAAUGGCCCCGAUGCCUCCUAUUCCGCCGCCGCCGUUGUCCCGACCGCCGAGGAUCUCGUGGGGGCGUGGCAGUGAUGACCUUGGAUGAGCAGUUCCAAUCUGUUGCGGGGAUUAGGGAGAGAAGUGCAUCCAGGAGGACGAGUUCAGGCGCCUGCUUGAUAACAAGCCUGUCCCCAUCUACUACAAUGGCUUCGAGCCUUUAGAGGCAUGCACAUCGCACAGGUUUGACCUUCUGUCUUCAGCCCCUGCCUCCAGGGCAUCAUUACUACAAAAAAUGAUAAGUUUGCAUGACUGAGCUAAAGAUAGAUUUGGCUGCAUCGCCGUUCUAAUUUUUUAAUAGCAUGUAGAAAGAGACCAUCGUUUAUAAUGGCACACAAGGAAAAAGCUCAAAUAAAUUGUGUGGAGGUUCAAUGAAGCUACAAAAAAUAUAAAAGAACAUAGAGACCACAUGACAGAUCAUUUACAAAGGGAUAUCAAAUACCAGCAACAAGAACAAGAGAACGGAAGCACAUUUUUGAAUUUAGAAACACGUGAUAGCAACUGUUUAUUUUUUCUUUUUAAUUAAAAAAGAUAAAGGAAAGAAAUAUUCCAGACUCCAGUUCGCCUCACGAAAAAUAAAAACCAUAGCCACAUUUUGUAUCAUCAUAAGUUAUUUAUUAGAGACUCAUUCUAUCAUAGGAAUACAUGUAAGCAAUUAUUUAUGGGCGUUGCUAAGGUAUAACUCUUACCUAGUAAGAGGUAAGAGUUCAAAUAAAUCCGAGACGUUGAAUAUUAGAAGAAAUAAAGUAAGUAGUAAAAAGAAAAAUAAAUAACAUAUUGUUUCCGUUUAUUUACAUGUCUACAUGCAAUUUGUUUCCUUUUGAUUGCAACCAACGACUACAACUUCAUGGAAGACCAUCGGGCAAGAUGGUUUUUAGUCAAAAUUCAACUUUCCAAGACAUGCUAUUUUACGUUUCUUAUUAAUUGGGCAUGGUCACGUUACAACUUAAAAAAAUAUUACAUUACAAUCAUGUACACUAUGGAUUGAAUAAGCUUUACCUUUUUAUAAUGUCGAAAACAAAAUGAAUUUAAAUUUCUCAUCGUCACGUUCCAACAAAUUAAUUAAAUAAAUUUUACAAAAUCAUUUUGGGUUAGCUAUUAUAAAUCAUUGUGUUAUUAUAUACACAAUAAAAUAAAAUGGUUGCGCAUGUGUGAACUAUGUCCCCCCAUCGUGUGUCCAUGUCCAUGUUAUUAAAAACCUAAGAUCAUGUUAGGAAAGUAAGAUCAUGCAUGCAUAUUAUAUACAUAAUACGAAGGUAUUUUCCUUCUGAGGUAAUAUUUGACAAUUGCUAUUCAGAUCGACGGUUCAUAGUUUUUUAGAUGUACCAUAGCAAGGCCCAUUAUUCAUAAUCAAGGAAUAACAGUACAAGUGAAAUGAUAUAAAUGGAACCACCUGCGUUCCUCGCAAGUACCAACCGUGGACUGUGGAGGGUCGCCAAACAGAGAACCAAGGGGACGGCAUCACCAACAGAUCGGCUUCUGAUCGACUUCAGCUGGGUGGUGAGUCUGCAGAGACGAGGGCGCAGCGGCGUUGGGGUCACCACGAGGUGUCUGUUUAGAGCAUGGAAUGAAAUGUUUUAAAUAAAAUAUUGGAGACCUUAUUCAUUGUGCUGGAGAAUGAAUCAGUGGAACAUGCUAUACCUUCUCUCAUUUCUUUCAAGUGGCAAUAUUAAUCGAAGUGCUUCCAGCGGAUGUGUGAAAUCUGUGGCCAGCUUUCUCCAUCAGGCUCUCGGCAGUUCUUCCUCAAGUCGUCACAACCAUAUAGACUUAUGCGCUGGAGGGAGGAUGGAAGAACUGGUAAAGAUGUUAUGUUGGGGCAAUGGCGGAUAUCAAGACUCUCCAGACUUGAGAGAAAUUUUAGAUUUCCUGGCAGGAACUCCAUUUUGCAUUGCCAAAAGUACAGGUGCUUGACAGAUAAGAGAUUUGCACAUUCUCCAAAGGAAGCUGACGCCUCGUUGCAAUAACGAAGAAUAAGGUUCGGUGGGACUAUAAACCCUUCAGCCUUGAGCAUCAAGUUGAGCAGUACGAAACUACUAACGACGAGCAAUUGCUGGACACGAAACUGUGAGAUGCACUUGGUAGUAAGGUUUGGAACAUCUAUCAAACUUAGGUAUUGAAGUUGCCAGGAAGACAAGCCUUCAAGAGAGCACAGAUCGGGGAGAUGAAUUAGAUCUAAUGAUUCAAGGGAGGUCAGGUGGCCAAUCGAUAAGGACGGGGAGGUUCUGCAACACAUAAUGAUAAGAGAUUUCAGGUGUGCCAAGCCAUUAAUGAAUGAAUCAGCUGCAAGAAUGCAGCCACAUAUGUGGAGCUCUCCAGCAAGGUUGAAUGACAUAAAUUCUGCUCCACGUGCCAGAUCUAAAGAAGGGCAAUCAAUACAAUAAAAUCUGGAAAGAUAUGGAGCAGCACUUAAGCCCCCCAGUGAUCUGAGACACCAACAACCUCUUAUAGUCAACCAGUCAAGCUUGAUCAAAUGCUCAAACACCUCUUCUGAUGGAAGUGCAGAUAAUGCCAUAUUAUAUUCCAGUCUUAACCUUGUAAAUGAAGUGAGGCCACCAAGGCAAAUAGCUAAAGCUUCAUCUGCAUGAAGAAAGAACAAGACCAACAAGUCCAAAUGGUACAACCAGUGGCAGCUCCAUGGUCCUUCCAUAAAGGACUCUUAUCCUCUGCUCAUGGCAAAAAAGCCAUGCCUUGAUCAUAUUUUCUUUGUCUGAUAUUAUAUCUCCUCCUUCCUCUAGGCCACUUUCAAUAAUUUGAAGAUGUUGUGAUAUAUCAUCACCCAUCUGCGUUGUCAACUGCUUCAGGGAUGAAUAGUCCUCUACAAGUACUUCCGUAAUAUUAAAUCCUGAAUUGACCUCCCACAUUGAUGCAAGUUUAGAUGCCAGGUCCUCUGUCUUCAUUAUAUUUCCCCUCGAACCAUGCUGGUCGAGCUCAUUUUUGGAGACAAACAUAAGCAGUGGGCACGUCUGAAUUGACAAUUUUGUAAGCAUUGCUGGAAGACAAGGUAAUAUUUUCAAUUUUGGAACAUUUUCUAGCGGAUGUGUGAAAUCUGCAACGGAUUGGCAAUUUUCAAUUUUGACAAUUUUGGAAUAUUUUCCACCUGCCUCGCAAGUCCCAACUGUGGACUGUGCACAGUCACCAAACAGAGAACCGAGGGGACAGCAUCUGCAACGGAUUGGCUUCUGACUUGAACUGGGUGGCGAGUCAGUGUCGUGUUGUGCUUGUGCCAGGGUGACCUUGAGGUCGAGGUGCCUGUUUACAACAUGAAAUGUUUUUAAAAUAUAAAAUAUUGGAAACCUUAUUCAUUGUGCUGGAUAAUGAAUCAGCAGAACCUAUACCUCCUCAUUUCGUUGAAGAUCAUUCAUAGAAGUGCUUCCAGCGGAUGUGUGAAAUCUGUGGCCAGCUUUCUCCAUCAGGCUCUCGGCAGUUCUUCUUCAAGUCGUCACAACCAUAUAUAGUUAUGCGCUGGAGGGAGGAUGGCAGAACUGGUAAAGAUGUUAUGUUGGGGCAAAUGCCGAUAUCAAGACUCUCCAGACUGGAGAGAAAUUUUAGAUUUCCUGGCAGGGACUCCAUUUUGCAAUCCCAAAUGUCCAGGUGCUUGACAGAUAAGAGAUUUGCACAUUCUCCAAAUGAAGCUGACGGCUCCUUGCAAACAUGAAGACCAAGAUUUGGUGGGACUAUAAACCCUUCAGCCUUGAGCAUCUGGUUGAGCAGUACGAAACUACUAACGCUGAGCCAUUUCUGGACACGAAACUGUGAGAUGCACUUGGCAGUGAGGUUUGGAACAUCUAUCAAACUUAGGCUAUCAAGUUGCCAGGAAGACAAGCCUUCAAGAGAGCACAGAUCGGGGAGACGAAGUAGAGAUAAUGAUUCAAGGGAGGUCAGGUGGCCAAUCGAUAAGGACGGGAAGCUUCUGCAACAUGCAAUGGAAAGAGAUUUCAGGUGUGGCAAGCCAUUAAUGAACGAAUCGGCUGCCAGAAUGCAGCCACAUAUGUAGAGGUCUCCAGCAAGGUUGAAUGACAUAGAUUCUGCUGCACCUGCCAGAUCUAAAGAAGGGCAAUCAAUACAAUAAAGUCUGGAAAGAGAUGGAGCAGCAUGUGAGCCCCCCAGUGAUCUGAGACACCAACAACCUCUUACAGCCAACAAGUCAAGCUUUGUCAAAUGCUCAAACACCUCUUCUGAAGGAAGUGCAGUUAAUGCCAUAUUAUAUUCCAGCAUUAACGUUGUCAAUGAAGUGAGGCCACCAAGGCAAAUAGCUAAAGCUUCAUCUGUAAUACUGCAUGAAGAAAGAUAAAGUUCACGUAUUCCUGAUGGUAGAACCAGUGGCAGCUCCAUGGUCCUUCCAUAAAUGACUGUUAUCCUCUGCUCAUGGCAAAAAAGCCAUGCCUUGAUCAUAUUUUCUUUCUCCAAUAUUAUAUCUCCUCCUUCCUCUAGGCCACUUUCAAUAAUUUGAAGAUGUUGUGAUAUAUCAUCACCCAUCUGCGUUGUCAACUGCUUCAGGGAUGAAUAGUCCUCUGCAAGUACUUCCCUAAUAUUUGAUCCUGAAUUGACCUCCCACAUUGAUGCAAGUUUAGAUGCCAGGUCCUCUGUCUUCAUUAUAUUUUCCCUCAAAUCAUGCUGGUCGAGCUCAUUUUUGGAGACAAACAUAAGCAGUGGGCACGUCUCAAUUGACAAUUUUGUAAGCAUUGCUGGAAGACAAGAUAAAAUCUUCAAUUUUGGAACAUUUUUUAGACACAGCCUAGUGCAAUGCCGUAGGAGCUCAGUAUUAGGUGGUAGGCCUUCUAACAAAGUGCAGCAAUUAAGCUUUAAACAUUCCAAAUUUUCAAAAUAGGAUGGCUCAAGUAACCACCUUGGAUAUGUGCCAGAUUUGUAGCCUUUGAUUGUGAGGCCACUAAGUUGGGGUGACGGUCUCAGACCUUCUAGAACAUCCAGAUGUAAAGUAUCCACUGCAUCCAUUCCCUUCUCGCUACUCCAGGCAAGCCGCAACUUUUUAAGGCGAUUCUUCUUAUAGAGCAUGGACUCUAAGGCUUCUUCUUUUUCUGAAACAUUCUCAAGAUUUUCUACUUUUAAACUGCCACCAAGCUCAUUCAAGUCCUUCAGCUGCCACAACUCGUAUCCUUGCUUCUUUUGCACAGAAAAGGUAUGCAUGUGUUGUAGCGAAAUUAGCUUGCCUAUAUUGGGAAUUUGAUGAAUAGAUUUUUCCAUCAAGGCAUGUGGGUACUCCUUGUACGCCCCCAUAUGUCGCAACUUACUUAAGUUGCAAAGCUUGUCAGGCAACCUCUCCACCGUUAGGCUUAACUGAAGUAACUGCAAGUGGUAAAGAGUACAUAAUGAUCUAGGCAAUUCAGAAAUUAACGUUCUGAUAAGGUUCAAAUACCGAAGGUGCUUCAGCCUACCAAUAGAUUCAGGCAACUUACUACUGUUGUAAAAUGACAAAUACAAUACACGUAACUUCUUCUGGUUCCGCAGCAUCUGAUCAAAAAUAUCGCUUGCAUCAUCCAUUAGUGGAUCAAUGCAGAUGAUAGUGCGUAAAUUCUGUAGCUUGUAGAUAAUUUGCUUAUGCUUUUGCAAACUCUCAACCUGAAGAGAGAGAUGUCGAACAGUGCAUGGUACUUCUCUGAUAUUAUCCUCUUCUAAUCUGAAGCAGUCUUCUACAGAGAGUGACUGUGCCAAAUCAUGAAGGAUGUCGUGCAUGAUAUAGUAUGAAUAAUACUCUGUUUCAGAAACCAAUUGAAAGAAAGACCCAGAGAGCAUCUCAUUGAAAUAAUCCCUCCCGACAUCUUCUAUUGUCAUGCUACUCAAAUUACAUGAACCAACAAGCCCUUCUGCCACCCAAAGGUGAACCAACUCAUCAGGUUUAUAUUUAUGACCUUUUGGGAAUAAGCUGCAAUACAAGAAGCACCUCUGCAGACGUGGAUCUAACUUCUUGUAACUCCACAAGAGAACUGUGAAGGGCUCACUUAAAUCUCUGAGCUUUAGAGCACCUUUCCAUUCAGCAGUAUCUUUUUUUGUGCUCAACCGGGAACCAAGAACUUUUGCUGCCAAAGGACAUUGUCCAAGCCUUUUAGCAAUCUCCACUGCAGUAUGUUCCAGCUUAUUGUGCAAAAGUUGAUCUCCAAUUUUUGCUCCAGAGAAAGCAUGGUGUUUGAAGAGUGCCAAGAAAUUGGCAUCAUCCAUUUUUUCCAAAUGAACAACUUGUUGUUGAUCACAGAAAACAGCGGCCGGAAGUGUUUCACGCCGAGAAGUCACCAAAACUUUGCUUCCCAUCUGUUUAGAGACAAAUGGAUCCAGGAGCUGAAACCACUCUGUCUCGCUGUCUGAUUUUUCGAACCAAACAUCAUCCAAGACAAGUAGGAAUUUCUGUGACUUCUGCAGUAUGUCACGUAAUUUGCACUGGAGAGUAUCAAGAUUAUCAAUACAUGGGCACUCCCCAUUUGUUGCAGACUCAAUAAUCUCCCUUGUGUGACGACGGACAUCAAGCUUGCGUGAGAUGCAGACCCACAUCCUGAUAUCAAAGCCUUCUUCUAUCCUCUUGUCAUUGUAGACAUACUGCACUAAGGUGGACUUCCCCAUUCCGCCCGCACCAAUAAUGGCCAAACUGGAGUACCUAGUCGAACUUGCCUCGUCAGCUGCUGUCUUGCCAAGAAGAAAAUCUAAUAUACGAUCGCGAUCCUUGUCACGACCGAAAACCUUUGAUGUGGAAAGUGAUGUCACUGUGGUUGGAGGAACAAUGGUUGCUGGUACAGCUGGCCACCCUAAACCUGUAGUAUUUCCAGGUGCUAUGCUAAGAAGAUCCCGAAGCUCCUUGGCUUCUGUUAGGAUAGCUUUGAUCUCAUUCAUCUUGCUAAUUAGCCUUCUAUUCUCAGGGAGCAAGUUGCGUGCCUUGCUCUUAGCAGUAUGAAAAGGCUUCAUGAUUGUUGAUGCAAUGGAGGAGGUUUCAUCCUCUCCUAGCAGGGGAUCUUUUCCGCUCUUGGCCUUGCGCUUGAGGAGAUUGUACUCAUGCUCGUCCAGCAGGUCCUCAGCAUCAUAAAAGGCUUCUUUGAGCCGCCGAAGCCAUGCCUCGAGCUUGCCCUUAUGGGGGCUCUUCUCUGCUGCUUGAAUCACCAGAUCAAAUUGUGGCAGGACGGUGGCUUCUAGUUUUUGGAGCUCACGCACCAUGUCCACACUGAGGUAAGCUGAAGCUUCGUUAAGAAGCUUGUUGAAAAUGGGCGAUGCUGCCCACCUUAACCCAGCGAGUGCCAAGUCUGCCAUGGAAUUGGAGUGGUUUGUGCUUCUCCUUUGUGGGUGUGGACUGGAGAGAUCUUGGAUGAAUAUUUCCAGGUGAAAAGAAGAGGACAAUUGAUUGGCAAUGGCACGAAAUGAUUGUGUUUUUCUUGGAAAUGUAAAUGAUGGGAAACAAGCAAAGAGUACAAUUAAUAUCUUUUUUCCUUCCUUUUUUGGGGUUUUCUAUUUUUUCUUUCUUUUUUUUUGUCGUAGGAGUGAAAUGAAUAAGUUGAAGAUGCAGGGUGCAAGGGUCUGGUGGCGAAGAGAAAGAUUAAACAGGAAAAGAAAGAUGAAUGGAUGGACAAUGGAAGCUGUUUUCUUUUUUAUGUAUGGACGAGGUGCUUCUGCAGAAGGCAAGUUACUGAUAAGGACAACAACGGAAUGAAGAAAACCUGGAAUUAAGAAGACGCAUAGAAUUAGUGAUUCUGAUUGGGAAAAUGGAAGACAAAUUGAUUAUUUUUCUUUCUCAUGUGCUACAGCACACAGAAUGAAAUAGCUACUAACAAGUUAGCACAACAAACUAAGGAGAUUGGUGAUCUUACAUGGUUUUGCGGGAUGAAGUUACACCAAGUAAAAAAAAUCAAGGGCGCUGGGAGCAGAGUUGCUGGAGCCAGUGUUGACAAGGAGCACGAGGUGGCCGGAGUGGUGGACGGGACUCUGGAACAAGCACUGCACUUCAAGAGAACAAACAGGCAGUCAGCCAAGAAUAAGGUAUAUACGCUGGCAGCGAAGGAGGGAAAGGAAGAAGCAAGGAACAAUACCGGAAAAGCUUGGCAGUGCUGAUUCCUGGUGAUGAUCUUUUUAUUAAGAGAUUGCUGGUGAUGAUCUGUUCUGCAGUUUCACGGUGAGGACACCGAUGGUGCUGCUGGCCUUCUGCUGCUUGCUGGGAAAAGGAAGAAGAAAGGAAAUUGGAAGGUGGAGAAAGAGGAGUAGACAAGGUCUAUCGAUUGGGACUUCUCUGAAAUAGGAGUUUGUUGGGACCUGCAUUUGGUGUGAAGUACUAGUCAGCAUAAACACAGACAAAGGAAGCUUCUGGGUAGCUUCACUAGGUUUCUAUCCUUGAGAAAGGAACGGUUCAACCAUAUCCCCCCUUGCAAUAAAUGAAUGAAGGCGAACACAGAGUAGACAAGGUCUAUGAAUUCAUCAAAAACGUUAUCAGCAGUUUUGCAACUCAAACACUGCCUAAACAACUCGUAGGAAAACACAGCCCAAAUGAAAAGCAAGGCGCACAUACGGCCACCUCACCUGUAUCCAGGAAACGGUGGAAUGUGGUCACCUCUCACAUGGAAAAUCACAUAAGAUGAUUUUUUUUAUUCCAUAACCCAUAUAAGAACUGAUCAAAACACAAAAGGAUAGACAAAUUUUGACUGACCACUGACCAGUCUCUUGCACUAGUACUGCUGCUUCUUUGUGAAAGGAAUCAGCCUUGACGCCUAUGCUACUGCUCGUCGGUGCUGCUGUACUAGGGCUGUGGUGCCUGUGUCGCCUCUCCUCCCCUUCCUGAAUCCUCUGCCGUGGUCGGUUCCUGCCUUGAGCACGGCCGGCACGCCCCGCAGCUUCCGCAGUAAAAGUAAUCUCCGAGGUGGCGAGACCUAACUCCGGCAACACCGGCGACAUGGAGGGUUCAGCGUUCGGCCGUCUUGUGCGGUGCCGGCGCUGGAACACGACACAGGAGAAUGGCCGAACGGCGGACGGGGAAAUGCUGAACAGAACAGGAACGGAUAUUGCGGUAUUGGACUGGGUAAGUAACUCAUCUAUUUGGGCCGCCCCACAUCGUCUUCAUCGCUCGUUUGAAGUUAGAGCAGCAGGAACAACGGCUGCACAGUCCCCUUCUUCUGCUUGAAUAAGGCUAUUCCAACAGGAGACCCAAAUGUAAAAUCUCUACUAUAAUGGAUCAAUUAGAAUUAUAUUAGAUCCCCAAGUAAAACCUUUUCCACUGAGAGCCUUCAACCAUUGUGCACCUAGUAAAAUUAAAAUGUACACAGUAAAUUGUCUCUGUUAAAAUCAAGGGCUACAAAAUAAUUGCUCAUAGACCUCAACUCAAUCUGAUGGCCAUGAUCACUUCCAGGCUUCAACGCGACUCCCAGGCUUCAACACGCUCGCGUCCCUCGACGCACGGCCUCCACCUCCCCAAGCGUGACAGGCAGGAUUCGAUCCCUGCUACCGUUCCCGGCGGCGAGGUGGCACGGGAUCGACGGAGGAACUAGGGGCUGCGGCUGAGGGCUUGGCUCCUGCAGAGCUUCGGUGGCUGUGAAGGUCGACGACAGACCCCGGCUAGGGGCGGUAGCGGCAGCGGAGGCGCGGUCACAGCGACCCGGCCGGCGGCGGAGGAAGGCGAGACGGACACAUUGGUGGGAUUGGUUGGGUGCAGUUGCGAGGUCUCGGAGGAGCUGCUGCUCACGCUGGUGGAAAGCUAGGUAGUCUUGAGAUAGCACACUACGCGCACGGGGUGUUCGUGCAAAUGCUUGGCACGGCCUUGUCAAAUCCUUUGCUCCCCUCCGACGUUGCUGCCAUGGACUCCACGUUGGCACCUGAAAUGGCCCCGAUGCCUCCUAUUCCGCCGCCGCCGUUGUCCCGACCGCCGAGGAUCUCGUGGGGGCGUGGCAGUGAUGACCUUGGAUGAGCAGUUCCAAUCUGUUGCGGGGAUUAGGGAGAGAAGUGCAUCCAGGAGGACGAGUUCAGGCGCCUGCUUGAUAACAAGCCUGUCCCCAUCUACUACAAUGGCUUCGAGCCUUUAGAGGCAUGCACAUCGCACAGGUUUGACCUUCUGUCUUCAGCCCCUGCCUCCAGGGCAUCAUUACUACAAAAAAUGAUAAGUUUGCAUGACUGAGCUAAAGAUAGAUUUGGCUGCAUCGCCGUUCUAAUUUUUUAAUAGCAUGUAGAAAGAGACCAUCGUUUAUAAUGGCACACAAGGAAAAAGCUCAAAUAAAUUGUGUGGAGGUUCAAUGAAGCUACAAAAAAUAUAAAAGAACAUAGAGACCACAUGACAGAUCAUUUACAAAGGGAUAUCAAAUACCAGCAACAAGAACAAGAGAACGGAAGCACAUUUUUGAAUUUAGAAACACGUGAUAGCAACUGUUUAUUUUUUCUUUUUAAUUAAAAAAGAUAAAGGAAAGAAAUAUUCCAGACUCCAGUUCGCCUCACGAAAAAUAAAAACCAUAGCCACAUUUUGUAUCAUCAUAAGUUAUUUAUUAGAGACUCAUUCUAUCAUAGGAAUACAUGUAAGCAAUUAUUUAUGGGCGUUGCUAAGGUAUAACUCUUACCUAGUAAGAGGUAAGAGUUCAAAUAAAUCCGAGACGUUGAAUAUUAGAAGAAAUAAAGUAAGUAGUAAAAAGAAAAAUAAAUAACAUAUUGUUUCCGUUUAUUUACAUGUCUACAUGCAAUUUGUUUCCUUUUGAUUGCAACCAACGACUACAACUUCAUGGAAGACCAUCGGGCAAGAUGGUUUUUAGUCAAAAUUCAACUUUCCAAGACAUGCUAUUUUACGUUUCUUAUUAAUUGGGCAUGGUCACGUUACAACUUAAAAAAAUAUUACAUUACAAUCAUGUACACUAUGGAUUGAAUAAGCUUUACCUUUUUAUAAUGUCGAAAACAAAAUGAAUUUAAAUUUCUCAUCGUCACGUUCCAACAAAUUAAUUAAAUAAAUUUUACAAAAUCAUUUUGGGUUAGCUAUUAUAAAUCAUUGUGUUAUUAUAUACACAAUAAAAUAAAAUGGUUGCGCAUGUGUGAACUAUGUCCCCCCAUCGUGUGUCCAUGUCCAUGUUAUUAAAAACCUAAGAUCAUGUUAGGAAAGUAAGAUCAUGCAUGCAUAUUAUAUACAUAAUACGAAGGUAUUUUCCUUCUGAGGUAAUAUUUGACAAUUGCUAUUCAGAUCGACGGUUCAUAGUUUUUUAGAUGUACCAUAGCAAGGCCCAUUAUUCAUAAUCAAGGAAUAACAGUACAAGUGAAAUGAUAUAAAUGGAACCACCUGCGUUCCUCGCAAGUACCAACCGUGGACUGUGGAGGGUCGCCAAACAGAGAACCAAGGGGACGGCAUCACCAACAGAUCGGCUUCUGAUCGACUUCAGCUGGGUGGUGAGUCUGCAGAGACGAGGGCGCAGCGGCGUUGGGGUCACCACGAGGUGUCUGUUUAGAGCAUGGAAUGAAAUGUUUUAAAUAAAAUAUUGGAGACCUUAUUCAUUGUGCUGGAGAAUGAAUCAGUGGAACAUGCUAUACCUUCUCUCAUUUCUUUCAAGUGGCAAUAUUAAUCGAAGUGCUUCCAGCGGAUGUGUGAAAUCUGUGGCCAGCUUUCUCCAUCAGGCUCUCGGCAGUUCUUCCUCAAGUCGUCACAACCAUAUAGACUUAUGCGCUGGAGGGAGGAUGGAAGAACUGGUAAAGAUGUUAUGUUGGGGCAAUGGCGGAUAUCAAGACUCUCCAGACUUGAGAGAAAUUUUAGAUUUCCUGGCAGGAACUCCAUUUUGCAUUGCCAAAAGUACAGGUGCUUGACAGAUAAGAGAUUUGCACAUUCUCCAAAGGAAGCUGACGCCUCGUUGCAAUAACGAAGAAUAAGGUUCGGUGGGACUAUAAACCCUUCAGCCUUGAGCAUCAAGUUGAGCAGUACGAAACUACUAACGACGAGCAAUUGCUGGACACGAAACUGUGAGAUGCACUUGGUAGUAAGGUUUGGAACAUCUAUCAAACUUAGGUAUUGAAGUUGCCAGGAAGACAAGCCUUCAAGAGAGCACAGAUCGGGGAGAUGAAUUAGAUCUAAUGAUUCAAGGGAGGUCAGGUGGCCAAUCGAUAAGGACGGGGAGGUUCUGCAACACAUAAUGAUAAGAGAUUUCAGGUGUGCCAAGCCAUUAAUGAAUGAAUCAGCUGCAAGAAUGCAGCCACAUAUGUGGAGCUCUCCAGCAAG
Molecule: long non-coding RNA, 22925 nt
Filed under: Sorghum bicolor (sorghum)
Lineage: Eukaryota; Viridiplantae; Streptophyta; Magnoliopsida; Poales; Poaceae
Description: long non-coding RNA (SBIC_LNC013481)
Source: RNAcentral